UGAGCAACCUGCCCUUGACUCUGGAAUAACAGCUGGAAACAGCUGCUAAUACCGGAUACGACCUCCGAUGGCAUCAUCUGGAGGUGGAAAGCUCCGACGGUCAAGGAUGGGCUCGCGGCCUAUCAGCUUGUUGGUGAGGUAACGGCUCACCAAGGCUUCGACGGGUAGCCGGCCUGAGAGGGCGACCGGCCACACUGGGACUGAGAUACGGCCCAGACCUCUACGGGGAG
Molecule: ribosomal RNA, 230 nt
Filed under: uncultured bacterium
Lineage: Bacteria
Description: partial 16S ribosomal RNA
Rfam family: Bacterial small subunit ribosomal RNA
Source: RNAcentral